UGAAGCUGCAGAGAUGAAUCU
RNAcentral lists this non-coding RNA (21 nucleotides) under Caenorhabditis elegans. The record is from RNAcentral. Lineage: Eukaryota; Metazoa; Nematoda; Chromadorea; Rhabditida; Rhabditidae.